GCAAUGGUGGUUUAGUGGUAGAAUUCCCGUGUCCCACGCAGGUGAUCCGGGUCCGAUUCCCGGCCAACGCA
This 71-nucleotide transfer RNA is filed under the name Danio rerio (zebrafish). It matches the Rfam family "tRNA". From Rfam's summary of the family: Transfer RNA (tRNA) molecules are approximately 80 nucleotides in length. Their secondary structure includes four short double-helical elements and three loops (D, anti-codon, and T loops). Further hydrogen bonds mediate the characteristic L-shaped molecular structure. tRNAs have two regions of fundamental functional importance: the anti-codon, which is responsible for specific mRNA codon recognition, and the 3' end, to which the tRNAs corresponding amino acid is attached (by aminoacyl-tRNA synthetases). tRNAs cope with the degeneracy of the genetic code in two manners: having more than one tRNA (with a specific anti-codon) for a particular amino acid; and 'wobble' base-pairing, i.e. permitting non-standard base-pairing at the 3rd anti-codon position. Lineage: Eukaryota; Metazoa; Chordata; Actinopteri; Cypriniformes; Danionidae. The record is from Rfam by way of RNAcentral.